This 69-nucleotide transfer RNA is filed under the name Ictidomys tridecemlineatus (thirteen-lined ground squirrel). Its description in RNAcentral is "Spermophilus tridecemlineatus (thirteen-lined ground squirrel) tRNA". It matches the Rfam family "tRNA". From Rfam's summary of the family: Transfer RNA (tRNA) molecules are approximately 80 nucleotides in length. Lineage: Eukaryota; Metazoa; Chordata; Mammalia; Rodentia; Sciuridae. The record is from Rfam by way of RNAcentral.
GGGGUUGUAGCUCAGUGGUAGAGCGCUUGCCUCUCACACAUGAGGCUCUGGGUUCAAUCCUCAGUACCA